GGUCCCUAUCUGCCGUGGGCGUUUGAGAGUUGAGAGGGGCUGCUCCUAGUACGAGAGGACCGGAGUGGACGAACCGCUGGUGUUCGGGUUGUCAUGCCAAUGGCACUGCCCGGUAGCUACGUUCGGAAUCGAUAACCGCUGAAAGCAUCUAAGCGGGAAGCGAGCCUCAAGAUAAGCUCUCACUAGCACUUUAAGUGCUCUGAAGGGUUGUUGAAGACGACAACGUUGAUAGGCGGGAUGUGGAAGCGUAGUAAUGCGUUGAGCUAACCCGUACUAAUUGCCCGUGAGACUUAACCAUACAACACCCAAGGUGUUUGG
RNAcentral lists this ribosomal RNA (318 nucleotides) under Idiomarina sp. Its description in RNAcentral is "partial 23S ribosomal RNA". It matches the Rfam family "Bacterial large subunit ribosomal RNA", at positions 2633 to 2925 of the family's 2925-position model. Lineage: Bacteria; Pseudomonadati; Pseudomonadota; Gammaproteobacteria; Alteromonadales; Idiomarinaceae. The record is from RNAcentral.